GGAUUAGAUACCCUGGUAGUCCACGCCGUAAACGAUGUCAACUAGCCGUUGGGCUCAUUUAAGGGUUUAGUGGCGCAGCUAACGCGAUAAGUUGACCGCCUGGGGAGUACGGCCGCAAGGCUAAAACUCAAAGGAAUUGACGGGGGCCCGCACAAGCGGUGGAGCAUGUGGUUUAAUUCGAUGCAACGCGAAGAACCUUACCAGCCCUUGACAUCCUGCGAACUCUCUAGAGAUAGAGAGGUGCCUUCGGGAACGCAGUGACAGGUGCUGCAUGGCUGUCGUCAGCUCGUGCUG
This 294-nucleotide ribosomal RNA is filed under the name uncultured bacterium. RNAcentral describes it as "partial 16S ribosomal RNA". It matches the Rfam family "Bacterial small subunit ribosomal RNA", at positions 775 to 1067 of the family's 1533-position model. The record is from RNAcentral.